Molecule: ribosomal RNA, 492 nt
Filed under: uncultured bacterium
Lineage: Bacteria
Description: partial 16S ribosomal RNA
Rfam family: Bacterial small subunit ribosomal RNA
Source: RNAcentral
AGUGAACGCUGGCGGUAGGCCUAACACAUGCAAGUCGAACGGCAGCACAGUAAGAGCUUGCUCUUACGGGUGGCGAGUGGCGGACGGGUGAGGAAUACAUCGGAAUCUACUUUUUCGUGGGGGAUAACGUAGGGAAACUUACGCUAAUACCGCAUACGACCUACGGGUGAAAGCAGGGGAUCUUCGGACCUUGCGCGAUUGAAUGAGCCGAUGUCGGAUUAGCUAGUUGGCGGGGUAAAGGCCCACCAAGGCGACGAUCCGUAGCUGGUCUGAGAGGAUGAUCAGCCACACUGGAACUGAGACACAGUCCAGACUCCUACGGGAGGCAGCAGUGGGGAAUAUUGGACAAUGGGCGCAAGCCUGAUCCAGCCAUACCGCGUGGGUGAAGAAGGCGUUCGGGUUGUAAAGCCCUUUUGUUGGGAAAGAAAAGCAGCAGGUUAAUACCCCGCUGUUCUGACGGUACCCAAAGAAUAAGCACCGGCUAACUUCGUG